ACAGAAUGCAACAGAACUGUCCCUGCUGCAGAAGUCUCAGGGUUCUGCCCCAACUGCAUAGACUUCUUUCAUGGAACCGGCUCCUCUAUCCCCACAAGGCUUCUCCCCAGCACAGCUUCUACCUAGAAUCAGACGGAGAGCUUUAGACCAGGUAAGAACUCUGGGCCAAUGUAAAUCAGGAGCGCCAGGCUGUCCCAGCCUCUGCCCUGACUUGCUCUAUGAGUUUGGCAAAUUCCUUAAUCUGCCCAUGCCUCUCUUUCUGUGUUGUUAACAUGAUGAUGUUGGCCUAGAGCAGGGGCUGGCAAACUUUUUAUGUAAAGAGACAAAUAUAAUAUUUUAGGCUUGUAGACCACAUGGUCAGUAUCUCUCUCAACUAUCCAAAGCCACCACUGUAGCAUGAAAGCAGCCACAGAUGGGUUGUAAAUGGAGGGGCGUGGUUGUAUUCCAAUAAAACUUUAUUUACAAAGACAAGUGGUGAACAAGAUUGGCCAGUGGACUGUAUUUUGCCAACUCCUGGACUAAAUCUCUAAGGAUCUUUGCAACACUGAAAUACCGUACUACCUGGAUUGUUUUACAGAGAGAAAACGGAGGCGUGGUGACACCAAGUGACAUGCUCCAAGCCGCUGAACAUGUUGGUGGCAGAGCUAGAACUCGACACCAAGUCUCCUGGCUUUAGUCCACUGUGGCUCUCAAUCCUCGCACACGCAGAGCACAGACCGUUUUUGGUACACGAGGCUUACCCUGGGAACUGCCCUCCCUCUGUGGCUUGGCGAGGGGGGUCGGGGGAAAGGGUAGGGAGGAUGUGAGGGGUGGGGAGCAGUGCUCUCUCUGCCUGUUUCAGGAAGGCUCUCUGGUUUGGUGAGAGCCCACACUUUGUUAAGUGAGAUAAGGGACACUACAAGAAAAGGAGGGGGUGGGUGGGCAGAGGACAUCACGCUGCUUAUUUUGAACCUGGGAAAACUGUGCCUUAGGAGAGGGAAGUCCUGCAUAUUUCAUGCUGUGACUUCUUGCUUCCAAACUGCGUAUGCUGGCCUCCUUUUCACCCAGAUGGUGCUGCAGGGAACAAGGCCCCACCAGUGUGUGCUCUUCCUGUGUGUCCAAAUUUCCACCAAAGAGGGCUCCUCCCAGGAGAUUGGCUGCCGAACCUGUUCUUCCACGGCAGAAGCGGCGCAGCUAGCCCAGCACGACUCUGCUUAUUGUUACGCUUCUGCCACAUGUGUGUAAAUUUGUAAGGAACUUGCCGCUCCUGGCUGAAGACCCAGGGAGCUUUUGCGCUGUUA
This 1280-nucleotide long non-coding RNA is filed under the name Homo sapiens (human). Its description in RNAcentral is "HSALNT0317181". The record is from RNAcentral. Lineage: Eukaryota; Metazoa; Chordata; Mammalia; Primates; Hominidae.